GGGGACGUAGCGCAGGUGGUAGCGCUGCUUUCGCAAUGCAGAGGUCAGGGGUUCGACUCCCCUCGUCUCCA
RNAcentral lists this transfer RNA (71 nucleotides) under Micromonospora sp. KC721. RNAcentral describes it as "tRNA-Ala". It matches the Rfam family "tRNA". Rfam says of the family: Transfer RNA (tRNA) molecules are approximately 80 nucleotides in length. Their secondary structure includes four short double-helical elements and three loops (D, anti-codon, and T loops). Further hydrogen bonds mediate the characteristic L-shaped molecular structure. tRNAs have two regions of fundamental functional importance: the anti-codon, which is responsible for specific mRNA codon recognition, and the 3' end, to which the tRNAs corresponding amino acid is attached (by aminoacyl-tRNA synthetases). tRNAs cope with the degeneracy of the genetic code in two manners: having more than one tRNA (with a specific anti-codon) for a particular amino acid; and 'wobble' base-pairing, i.e. permitting non-standard base-pairing at the 3rd anti-codon position. The record is from RNAcentral. Lineage: Bacteria; Bacillati; Actinomycetota; Actinomycetes; Micromonosporales; Micromonosporaceae.